Molecule: ribosomal RNA, 315 nt
Filed under: Triticum aestivum (bread wheat)
Lineage: Eukaryota; Viridiplantae; Streptophyta; Magnoliopsida; Poales; Poaceae
Description: partial small subunit ribosomal RNA
Source: RNAcentral
AUGAGCCCGUUAUCCACAGCGUCGUGUAGCACAUGGGGAUCUGUGCGAGGUCGUUUUCCGUGGGAAUACGGGAGCGUUGAAAUUCCAUUUUUUGUAGUGUGUACGUAUGUGGUCGGCCUGGUAUGUGGGCCAGGCAAGCGAUCUCCGUCGUUUGUGUCCGUCGGCCGUCACCGGGAUUUUCCUGAUCCGUGGAUCAGGACGCUCGAUGUGGUCUUGGUCCAUAGACCAGGAAAUUUGCUUUUCCUCCUCAGGCCGGUACGCUGUUUCUGGAGGCGAGUUCGUGCCCAGGGGAAGGGCUCAAUUUCUCGGCGAUGA